This 327-nucleotide long non-coding RNA is filed under the name Elaeis guineensis (African oil palm). Its description in RNAcentral is "long non-coding RNA (EGUI_LNC025586)". The record is from RNAcentral. Lineage: Eukaryota; Viridiplantae; Streptophyta; Magnoliopsida; Arecales; Arecaceae.
AUUCUACUUUAUGUCAAAAACAAGCUUCUAGAAAGAGCAGUUAUGGUAUUUCAUAAAAAUUAAUCUCUCAGAUGAUCUUCACGUCAUAACGUAGUCUAAAGGAGACAGAUGGCUAGAUCUUUUUGUAACAUUUUUAAAGUUUUGGGAUCUAUUUGAUUUUUUUUUUUGAGAUUUAAGUGUAAAUGCAUCAAAGUUUAAAGAGUGUCACGGUAAUUUUUUUCAAAAAUAUAGGAGCAAUCAGACCUCCACUUGGAGUUUAGAUUCAAUAAAUAGUGGUGUACACCUCAAGGCUCUAUAAUUUUCUUUGUUGUUUUAUCCGCUCCCACC